Molecule: ribosomal RNA, 483 nt
Filed under: Monosporozyma servazzii
Lineage: Eukaryota; Fungi; Ascomycota; Saccharomycetes; Saccharomycetales; Saccharomycetaceae
Description: eukaryotic LSU rRNA
Rfam family: Eukaryotic large subunit ribosomal RNA
Source: RNAcentral
UUUGAAAUCUAGUACCUUCGGUGCUCGAGUUGUAAUUUGUAGAGGGAUACUUUGGGGCCGUUCCUUGUCUAUGUUCCUUGGAACAGGACGUCAUAGAGGGUGAGAAUCCCGUGUGGCGAGGAGUGCGGUUCUAUGUAAAGUGCCUUCGAAGAGUCGAGUUGUUUGGGAAUGCAGCUCUAAGUGGGUGGUAAAUUCCAUCUAAAGCUAAAUAUUGGCGAGAGACCGAUAGCGAACAAGUACAGUGAUGGAAAGAUGAAAAGAACUUUGAAAAGAGAGUGAAAAAGUACGUGAAAUUGUUGAAAGGGAAGGGCAUUUGAUCAGACAUGGUGUUUUGCGCCCUCUGCUCCUUGUGGGUGGGGGACUCUCGCAGCUCACUGGGCCAACAUCAUUUUUGGUGGUCGGACAAAUCCGUAGGAAUGUAGCUUACCUCGGUAAGUGUUAUAGCCUGCGGGAAUACGGCCAGCCGGGACUGAGGACUGCGAC